RNAcentral lists this transfer RNA (84 nucleotides) under Sutterella wadsworthensis. RNAcentral describes it as "tRNA-Leu". It matches the Rfam family "tRNA". From Rfam's summary of the family: Transfer RNA (tRNA) molecules are approximately 80 nucleotides in length. The record is from RNAcentral. RNAcentral also lists the same sequence under 3 other names. Lineage: Bacteria; Pseudomonadati; Pseudomonadota; Betaproteobacteria; Burkholderiales; Sutterellaceae.
CCCCGGAUGGCGGAAUGGUAGACGCAGCGGAUUCAAAAUCCGCCGGGUAAAACCGUGAGAGUUCGAGUCUCUCUCUGGGGACCA